CGGGGAGGUAGUGACGAAAAAUAACGAUACGGGACUCAUCCGAGGCCCCGUAAUCGGAAUGAGUACACUUUAAAUCCUUUAACAAGGACCAAUUGGAGGGCAAGUCUGGUGCCAGCAGCCGCGGUAAUUCCAGCUCCAAUAGCGUAUAUUAAAGUUGUUGCGGUUAAAAAGCUCGUAGUUGAAUCUGUGUGUCACAGUGUCGGUUCACCGCUCGCGGUGUCUAACUGGCAUUAUGUGGUACGUCCUACCGGUGGGCUUAGCUCCUUGCGGGCGGUCCAACUAAUCUCCCAUCGCGGUGCUCUUCACUGAGUGUCGAGGUGGGCCGGUACGUUUACUUUGAACAAAUUAGAGUGCUCAAAGCAGGCUACCUUCGCCUGAAUACUGCGUGCAUGGAAUAAUGGAAUAGGACCUCGGUUCUAUUUUGUUGGUUUUCGGAACCCCGAGGUAAUGAUUAAUAGGGACAGAUGGGGGCAUUCGUAUUGCGACGUUAGAGGUGAAAUUCUUGGAUCGUCGCAAGACGGACUAAAGCGAAAGCAUUUGCCAAAAAUGUUUUCAUUAAUCAAGAACGAAAGUUAGAGGUUCGAAGGCGAUCAGAUACCGCCCUAGUUCUAACCAUAAACGAUGCCAGCUAGCGAUCCGCCGAAGUUCCUCCGAUGACUCGGCGGGCAGCUUCCGGGAAACCAAAGCUUUUGGGUUCCGGGGGAAGUAUGGUUGCAAAGCUGAAACUUAAAGGAAUUGACGGAAGGGCACCACCAGGAGUGGAGCCUGCGGCUUAAUUUGACUC
This 784-nucleotide ribosomal RNA is filed under the name Eucera cinctula. Its description in RNAcentral is "SSU rRNA". It matches the Rfam family "Eukaryotic small subunit ribosomal RNA", at positions 457 to 1201 of the family's 1831-position model. Lineage: Eukaryota; Metazoa; Arthropoda; Insecta; Hymenoptera; Apidae. RNAcentral also lists the same sequence under 6 other names. The record is from RNAcentral.